CGAGAUUUGGACUGAUUUUUCAGCCAGUUGUUUUGCUUUGAGGGUCGCCAUGUAACUUUGCUUGGCUGUUGCUUGGUCCCCUCGAGCUUCGCCGACUCUCCGUUCGGUGGGAAAUCGCAUGAGCAGGUGGUAGGUUGAUACUAUGGCCCGGAGGGCGUUGAGCCCAGGUCGGCCGAGAAUAGUAUUGUAGACUGAAGCCACCCGGACUACUAGGAAGUCCAUCUUCACGGUACUCUCUUUAGGGGCAGCCCGGCCGUAACAGGUAGGCUAACUACUCCUUCAACCGGGACUGAUUCCCUAGUGAAUCCGACCAGUGGAGCGUUCAUUCUUCGGAGCUGGUCCUCCGUCAUUCCAAUUUUUUGGAAAGCAUCAUAGAAUAAUACGUUUGCAGAGCUUCCAUUAUCAACUAAAACACGUUUUACAUCAAACUUAUUUAUGACAUGGGAGAUGACCACAUCAUCAUCAUGGGGAGUUUCAACUCCUUUUAAGUCUUCAUCCAAGAACGAGAUGGCUUCUGUCGUGCGCUGACGCUUCAGGGGGCCUUCCUU
RNAcentral lists this long non-coding RNA (548 nucleotides) under Phoenix dactylifera (date palm). RNAcentral describes it as "long non-coding RNA (PDAC_LNC021991)". Lineage: Eukaryota; Viridiplantae; Streptophyta; Magnoliopsida; Arecales; Arecaceae. The record is from RNAcentral.